RNAcentral lists this ribosomal RNA (490 nucleotides) under uncultured bacterium. Its description in RNAcentral is "bacterial SSU rRNA". It matches the Rfam family "Bacterial small subunit ribosomal RNA", at positions 15 to 518 of the family's 1533-position model. The record is from RNAcentral.
GAUCUUGGUCAGGACGAACGCUGGCGGCACGCUUAACACAUGCAAGUCGAACGGAGUUGUUUGGAGCUUGCUCUGAACAACUUAGUGGCGGACGGGUGAGUAACACGUGAGCAACCUGCCUUUGAGAGUGGAAUAGCUUCUGGAAACGGAUGGUAAUACCGCAUAACAUUAACGGACCGCAUGAUCUGUUAAUCAAAGAUUUAUCGCUCAAAGAUGGGCUCGCGGCUGAUUAGAUAGUUGGUGGGGUAACGACCUACCAAGUCGACGAUCAGUAGCCGGACUGAGAGGUUGAACGGCCACAUUGGGACUGAGACACGGCCCAGACUCCUACGGGAGGCAGCAGUGGGGAAUAUUGCACAAUGGGCGGAAGCCUGAAUGCAGCGAUGCCGCGUGGAGGAAGAAGGUUUUCAGAUUGUAAACUCCUUUUAUCAGGGACGAUAAUGACGGUACCUGAAGAAAAAGCUCCGGCUAACUACGUGCCAGCCGCGGC